Molecule: ribosomal RNA, 536 nt
Filed under: Trigonopterus sp. 787 AR-2022a
Lineage: Eukaryota; Metazoa; Arthropoda; Insecta; Coleoptera; Curculionidae
Description: partial large subunit ribosomal RNA
Rfam family: Bacterial large subunit ribosomal RNA
Source: RNAcentral
GGCUUGUUGAUUAUAAUUUCAAGUCUGACCUGCCCAAUGAGAAGUUAAAUGGCCGCGGUAUAUUGACCGUGCAAAGGUAGCAUAAUCAUUAGUUUUUUAAUUGGAAGCUAGAAUGAAGGGUUUGAUGAGAAGGUUUCUGUCUCUAAAAGAGUUUAUUAGAAUUUUAUUUUUAAGUAAAAAAGCUUAAAUGUGUAUAGAAGACGAGAAGACCCUAUAGAGUUUUAUAUUUGUAAGGGUAAUUGAAUUGAGGAUUAAGAAUUUAUUUAUUUUGUCAAAUAUUUUAUUGGGGUGAUAGAAAAAUUGGCUAAACUUUUUCUACAUGAGAAACAUUUAUUUAUGAUUUUAUGAUCCUUAGGUUUAGAUUAUAAGAUUAAAUUACCUUAGGGAUAACAGCGUAAUUUUUUUUAGAGCUCUUAUCGAAAAAAAAGAUUGCGACCUCGAUGUUGGAUUAAAAUGAGUUAUUGGUGUAGAAGCUGAAUGACUAGGUCUGUUCGACCUUUAAAAUUUUACAUGAUCUGAGUUUAAACCGGCGUGAG